Columba livia (rock pigeon) is the source of this 659-nucleotide long non-coding RNA. RefSeq lists it as uncharacterized. The transcript has 3 exons. Lineage: Eukaryota; Metazoa; Chordata; Aves; Columbiformes; Columbidae. The record is from RefSeq and is a predicted model, not a curated record.
UCUCCCCACUCCAGGCAGCUGCUGCCCGGUUUCCAUUGCCUGUCCUGUGACCGGCCCCUCAACAUGCUGGCGCCUGGACCGUGAGUAACUGCCCCCCGAACAGGGAGCACCCCCUGACCCCUCCCUGGCGUCGAGUGACACAUGGGGUGCCACCUGCCGGGCACUGAGCACCCCCAUGUCCUGUCCCACAGGGAGCGGACGGGCGAGUGCAGAUACCCCACUGUUCCGCGGAGCUGUGGGGGCCCACACACCGUCACGCCCCCGCGCUUCCAGCCCCAACCGCCCAGCACCCCACGGCCGUCCCAACCCAGUGCCCGCCGCCCCAACAAGAAGGACGCGAUGCAGCUGUCGGGCCAGGACGGCACUGAUGGGAAGCGGCAGGACGAGCAGCUCUCCAUGAUGGGGGGCUCUCAGCUGCCCACAACACCAACGGCCACCCCAGAGACCUCAACCUCGAGGAGCCAGAAAAGCACCGCCUCCCCGCUGCUGUUAGCCGUGCUGAAGCGCCAACCAGCCUCAUCUCCCGGACGCCUCACCCAGGCACCGAAGCUGCUGCCACACCGCAUUAAAUCAGCGCCCUGACAGCCGGGCAGGACGGGGGUCCCGGCCCCGGUCCCACCGCCCCGGGUGCUGAGCCGGCAGCGGCUGCAAUAAAUGGC